Molecule: ribosomal RNA, 371 nt
Filed under: uncultured organism
Description: partial 16S ribosomal RNA
Rfam family: Bacterial small subunit ribosomal RNA
Source: RNAcentral
GUAGGUGGCAAGCGUUGUCCGGAAUUAUUGGGCGUAAAGCGCGCGCAGGCGGUUCUUUAAGUCUGAUGUGAAAGCCACGGGCUCAACCGUGGAGGGUCAUUGGAAACUGGAGAACUUGAGUACAGAAGAGGAAAGCGGAAUUCCACGUGUAGCGGUGAAAUGCGUAGAGAUGUGGAGGAACACCAGUGGCGAAGGCGGCUUUCUGGUCUGUAACUGACGCUGAGGCGCGAAAGCGUGGGGAGCAAACAGGAUUAGAUACCCUGGUAGUCCACGCCGUAAACGAUGAGUGCUAAGUGUUAGGGGGUUUCCGCCCCUUAGUGCUGCAGCUAACGCAUUAAGCACUCCGCCUGGGGAGUACGGCCGCAAGGCUG